Molecule: ribosomal RNA, 253 nt
Filed under: uncultured bacterium
Lineage: Bacteria
Description: partial 16S ribosomal RNA
Rfam family: Bacterial small subunit ribosomal RNA
Source: RNAcentral
UACGUAGGUGGCAAGCGUUGUCCGGAUUUAUUGGGUUUAAAGGGUGCGUAGGCGGUCCUUUAAGUCAGUGCUGAAAUACUCUAGCUUAACUAGAGGGGUGGCAUUGAUACUGGAGGACUUGAAUGAAGUCGAGGUAGGCGGAAUUGACGGUGUAGCGGUGAAAUGCUUAGAUAUCGUCAAGAACACCCGUGGCUAAGGCGGCUCUCUAGUACGGUACUGACGCUGAGACGCGAAAGCGUGGGGAGCGAACAGG